This 511-nucleotide ribosomal RNA is filed under the name uncultured bacterium. RNAcentral describes it as "bacterial SSU rRNA". It matches the Rfam family "Bacterial small subunit ribosomal RNA", at positions 29 to 518 of the family's 1533-position model. The record is from RNAcentral.
AACGAACGCUGGCGGCGUGCUUAACACAUGCAAGUCGAACGUGAAAGGGACUUCGGUCCUGAGUAAAGUGGCGCACGGGUGAGUAACGCGUAGAUAACCUGUCUUCAUGUCUGGAAUAAUACGCCGAAAGGGGUACUAAUACCGGAUAUUCUUGCUUUUCAUAAGUUAUGCAAGCAAAGGUGGCCUCUGCAUAUGCUACUGCAUGAAGAGGGGUCUGCGUACCAUUAGCUAGUAGGUGGGGUAAUGGCCUACCUAGGCGACGAUGGUUAGCGGGUCUGAGAGGAUGAUCCGCCACACUGGCACUGGAACACGGGCCAGACUCCUGCGGGAGGCAGCAGUGAGGAAUAUUGCGCAAUGGGGGAAACCCUGACGCAGCGACGCCGCGUGAGUGAAGGAAGGCCUUCGGGUCGUAAAGCUCUGUCAAGAGGAAAGAAGUGUACAAUGGCUAAUACCUGUUGUAUUUGACGGUACCUCUAAAGGAAGCACCGGCUAACUCCGUGCCAGCAGCCGC